UGGGGAAUAUUGGACAAUGGGGGCAACCCUGAUCCAGCCAUGCCGCGUGAGUGAUGAAGGCCUUCGGGUUGUAAAGCCCUUUCGGCGGGGACGAUGAUGACGGUACCCGCAGAAGAAGCCCCGGCUAACUUCGUGCCAGCAGCCGCGGUAAUACGAAGGGGGCUAGCGUUGUUCGGAAUUACUGGGCGUAAAGGGCGUGUAGGCGGCCCGCUAAGUCAGGUGUGAAAUUCCUGGGCUCAACCCAGGACGUGCACUUGAGACUGACGGGCUUGAGUCCGGGAGAGGAUGGUGGAACUCCCAGUGUAGAGGUGAAAUUCGUAGAUAUUGGGAAGAACACCCGUGGCGAAGGCGGCCAUCUGGACCGGUACUGACGCUAAGGCGCGACAGCGUGGGGAGCAAACA
Molecule: ribosomal RNA, 402 nt
Filed under: uncultured bacterium
Lineage: Bacteria
Description: bacterial SSU rRNA
Rfam family: Bacterial small subunit ribosomal RNA
Source: RNAcentral